UGGGGAAUAUUGCACAAUGGGCGCAAGCCUGAUGCAGCCAUGCCGCGUGUGUGAAGAAGGCCUUCGGGUUGUAAAGCACUUUCAGCGGGGAGGAAGGCGAUAAGGUUAAUAACCUUGUCGAUUGACGUUACCCGCAGAAGAAGCACCGGCUAACACCGUGCCAGCAGCCGCGGUAAUACGGAGGGUGCAAGCGUUAAUCGGAAUUACUGGGCGUAAAGCGCACGCAGGCGGUCUGUCAAGUCGGAUGUGAAAUCCCCGGGCUUAACCUGGGAACUGCAUUCGAAACUGGCAGGCUAGAGUCUUGUAGAGGGGGGUAGAAUUCCAGGUGUAGCGGUGAAAUGCGUAGAGAUCUGGAGGAAUACCGGUGGCGAAGGCGGCCCCCUGGACAAAGACUGACGCUCAGGUGCGAAAGCGUGGGGAGCAAACAGG
This 429-nucleotide ribosomal RNA is filed under the name Chloroflexota bacterium. Its description in RNAcentral is "Chloroflexi bacterium partial 16S ribosomal RNA". It matches the Rfam family "Bacterial small subunit ribosomal RNA", at positions 355 to 776 of the family's 1533-position model. Lineage: Bacteria; Bacillati; Chloroflexota. The record is from RNAcentral.